CUCCCAAACCCCUGUGAACAUACCUUAAUGUUGCCUCGGCGGAUCAGCCCGCGCCCUGUAAAACGGGACGGCCCGCCAGAGGACCCAAACUCUAAUGUUUCUUAUUGUAACUUCUGAGUAAAACAAACAAAUAAAUCAAAACUUUCAACAACGGAUCUCUUGGUUCUGGCAUCGAUGAAGAACGCAGCAAAAUGCGAUAAGUAAUGUGAAUUGCAGAAUUCAGUGAAUCAUCGAAUCUUUGAACGCACAUUGCGCCCGCUGGUAUUCCGGCGGGCAUGCCUGUUCGAGCGUCAUUUCAACCCUCAAGCCCCCGGGUUUGGUGUUGGGGAUCGGCUCUGCCCUUCUGGGCGGUGCCGCCCCCGAAAUACAUUGGCGGUCUCGCUGCAGCCUCCAUUGCGUAGUAGCUAACACCUCGCAACUGGAACGCGGCGCGGCCAUGCCGUAAAACCCCAACUUCUGAAUGUUGACCUCGGAUCAGGUAGGAAUACCCGCUGAACUUAAGCAUAUCAAUAAGCGGAGGAAAAGAAACCAACAGGGAUUGCCCUAGUAACGGCGAGUGAAGCGGCAACAGCUCAAAUUUGAAAUCUGGCUUUCGGGCCCGAGUUGUAAUUUGUAGAGGAUACUUUUGAUGCGGUGCCUUCCGAGUUCCCUGGAACGGGACGCCAUAGAGGGUGAGAGCCCCGUCUGGUUGGAUGCCAAAUCUCUGUAAAGUUCCUUCGACGAGUCGAGUAGUUUGGGAAUGCUGCUCUAAAUGGGAGGUAUAUGUCUUCUAAAGCUAAAUAUUGGCCAGAGACCGAUAGCGCACAAGUAGAGUGAUCGAAAGAUGAAAAGCACUUUGAAAAGAGAGUUAAAAAGUACGUGAAAUUGUUGAAAGGGAAGCGUUUAUGACCAGACUUGGACUUGGUUAAUCAUCUGGGGUUCUCCCCAGUGCACUUUUCCAGUUCAGGCCAGCAUCAGUUUUCGCCGGGGGAUAAAGGCUUCGGGAAUGUAGCUCUCUUCGGGGAGUGUUAUAGCCCGUUGUGUAAUA
RNAcentral lists this ribosomal RNA (1027 nucleotides) under Sordariomycetes sp. DC012. RNAcentral describes it as "eukaryotic LSU rRNA". The stretch from base 465 to 1027 matches the Rfam family "Eukaryotic large subunit ribosomal RNA", at positions 1 to 575 of the family's 3401-position model. The record is from RNAcentral. Lineage: Eukaryota; Fungi; Ascomycota; Sordariomycetes.